GGACAAAGACUGACGCUCAGGUGCGAAAGCGUGGGGAGCAAACAGGAUUAGAUACCCUGGUAGUCCACGCCGUAAACGAUGUCUACUUGGAGGUUGUGCCCUUGAGGCGUGGCUUCCGGAGCUAACGCGUUAAGUAGACCGCCUGGGGAGUACGGCCGCAAGGUUAAAACUCAAAUGAAUUGACGGGGGCCCGCACAAGCGGUGGAGCAUGUGGUUUAAUUCGAUGCAACGCGAAGAACCUUACCUGGUCUUGACAUCCACGGAAGUUUUCAGAGAUGAGAAUGUGCCUUCGGGAACCGUGAGACAGGUGCUGCAUGGCUGUCGUCAGCUCGUGUUGUGAAAUGUUGGGUUAAGUCCCGCAACGAGCGCAAC
This 372-nucleotide ribosomal RNA is filed under the name Salmonella enterica subsp. enterica. RNAcentral's name for it is "bacterial SSU rRNA". It matches the Rfam family "Bacterial small subunit ribosomal RNA", at positions 731 to 1102 of the family's 1533-position model. Lineage: Bacteria; Pseudomonadati; Pseudomonadota; Gammaproteobacteria; Enterobacterales; Enterobacteriaceae. The record is from RNAcentral.